Long non-coding RNA from Spinacia oleracea (spinach), 1746 nucleotides. RefSeq lists it as uncharacterized. The transcript has 5 exons. Lineage: Eukaryota; Viridiplantae; Streptophyta; Magnoliopsida; Caryophyllales; Amaranthaceae. The record is from RefSeq and is a predicted model, not a curated record.
CCUGGUGUCCAGGGUUGGACAAAGAGCAUGUGUCCUGCGACAAACCACGGUCCCUUCGAGAGGAUACCUUCUCUUGCCUCCUCCGAGGGUAUCGUUACAUUGUAGAAACCUUUCCCCAAUGCUAUGAAUUGUAGUGGUGGAGUGAUUUUCCAGAUUCUCUGAAGUGACGACUUCAAAUACUCAAUUGAGAAGGACUUCCCUAUCGCCUUUACAAUGAGGGACCUUACCCAUUUUUCAGAAAUCUUCGACGCGUCUUCUUGAGUUAGGCUGAUGAAUGCUUCCAUGGCAGCGUCAUAGUUGGGUGGAGGGGUGGUGGAAACAAUGUUCAUUAACUGGGUGGUAUUGAAUUGCGGUUGGGUGGAGUGGUGGUGUUGGUUCUGAAGGGUUUCUGCAUAGGUUGGUUUGUGGGUUUGGGUUUGGGUUUGGUCAAUUGAUGGGUGGGGGGGGCGGUGGUGGAUGAGAAGCUUGCUAGCUACCUGAGUUUCCUUGGUGGGAUCUGGUGGUUGUGGUGGGGGCUCUCCCUGUCUCUCGCUCUCUCUCUCUCUCUAACAUUUUUUAACUUUUGGGAUUAGUUCACUAGCUUCUUCGCAGUAAAAAAACUCAAUUACUCUCCUCUCUCCUUUCGAAUUCUCUUUCCUCCAUAGCUCCUCCGAAACGUUGUGUCUGUGUCUAAUUCAUCUCUCUCGUGUUCCUUACCUGGUUUUUAUUUAUUAUUUUUUCGUAAAUGGUUAAAGAAUUUUUUCUGAUUUUGUUUGAUUUAUCUGUUAUUAAUUUCUCUUUAUAGGUUUUUGUGAAUUUAUGGGUGUUUUCGUGCUCGUCGGAACAAACCCCGAUCUAUCACCGCCGCCUAAGCCCGUUGCUGCUUCCUUCUUCUCCCCUCAUACGGUCAUUCCUCAUUGCUCACUGCCUCGCCAGCCGGAAUCGACGCAUGGAGGCUACCAACGCCCAGUCACGAGGGUCGUGCCGCCCAUCCCUUCCUCUCUUAGUGAUUGUUGCUUCCCUUGUUCGCCGAAUCGCCGGUGUCAAGUUGCCUGCACGUGAUGUGUCUUGCUUUUAAACUUGGAAAUUACCCUCUACGACAUAGCCAAUCGACGAAAAUCCCAAACCCUUGUUUUCUCUUUCAUUCCACUCCCACUGCCUGGAAGGUGACUCCGCCGAUUCCACCGCCUCGUUGGCAAUUCUUACUCUGGCAAAAUCCUAAUCCCGAAGCCAUGGGGAAUUCAGUUAUGUAUCAAUGCUAACGAGGAGGAAGCAUCCUGAUGCCUUGCGAUUCCGUCUUAAGGUCAGAUGUUGAGAGGUCAAUUCCUUUCCAUCGUCCUGUCAAUCUUCCUGACAAGGAAGUACCCUAGGCCUAAUGCAUCGACAAUUGGGAAGAUAUUUGCACAUUAUUGGCCUCGAACAGAGCUAGGUUUAUCUCGUCACCGAGUCUUAAGGGCGGUCAAGCGGUUCGUUAAUGGCACAAAUGAUGAGUUCGAUAUGCUCAAUGAUCUGAAAUUAUUUUGGAUCUUAUUAUGUAUUGACGGGUAGCAUUUUAGUAUUUUAGGUAUAUUAGGUUGUAUCCUAUUAUGUUUUAUUGGAUGUCAUAUUUAAAAAUUUGGAUCUUAUAUAUUUGUAUUUUACAGUAUAAUCGUAGACGUAUAUAUUUCAGUCUACAACAAUUUUCUAUUUUACAGUACUAUUGUAAACAUAUACAGUACAGUCUAAUAAUUAUAUUCGAUUUUAUAUAAUAUCUAUUUUAAAGUACAA